GAUGAACGCUGGCGGCGUGCCUAAUACAUGCAAGUCGAGCGAACGGACGAGAAGCUUGCUUCUCUGAUGUUAGCGGCGGACGGGUGAGUAACACGUGGAUAACCUACCUAUAAGACUGGGAUAACUUCGGGAAACCGGAGCUAAUACCGGAUAAUAUUUUGAACCGCAUGGUUCAAAAGUGAAAGACGGUCUUGCUGUCACUUAUAGAUGGAUCCGCGCUGCAUUAGCUAGUUGGUAAGGUAACGGCUUACCAAGGCAACGAUGCAUAGCAGACCUGAGAGGGUGAUCGGCCACACUGAAACUGAGACACGGUCCAGACUCCUACGGGAGGCAGCAGUAGGAAAUCUUCAGCAAUGGGCGAAAGCCUGACGGAGCAACGCCGCGUGAGUGAUGAAGGUCUUCGGAUCGUAAAACUCUGUUAUAGGGAAGAACAUAUGUGUAAGUAACUGUGCACAUCUUGACGGUACCUAAUCAGAAAGCCACGGCUAACUACGUG
This 496-nucleotide ribosomal RNA is filed under the name uncultured bacterium. RNAcentral's name for it is "partial 16S ribosomal RNA". It matches the Rfam family "Bacterial small subunit ribosomal RNA", at positions 28 to 507 of the family's 1533-position model. The record is from RNAcentral.